CUUCACCGAACCCAGCCACAACGGCCGGUCCCCCGGCCGGUCCCGGCCGUACGUCGCCAGCAGCGCCUGCGCCUC
RNAcentral lists this antisense RNA (75 nucleotides) under Amycolatopsis rifamycinica. Its description in RNAcentral is "Aspks sRNA". It matches the Rfam family "ASpks TB sRNA". The record is from RNAcentral. Lineage: Bacteria; Bacillati; Actinomycetota; Actinomycetes; Pseudonocardiales; Pseudonocardiaceae.